Molecule: transfer RNA, 96 nt
Filed under: compost metagenome
Description: tRNA-Arg
Source: RNAcentral
GCAACGCUGGCUGGGGCGUUUCGAGGCGGCGGGUUUCGAGCUGGUCGGGCAGGUCUGGUUGCCGGCGGCACCGGUGGCGACCCUGGUGUUGUUGCA